CCGCCCUCACCAACGCACCGCCACCCCCUUUUCCCGCCGCCCGGCGCCUUACUCGAUGAAGAAGACGCGGCCGUCUCCACAGACGCCAUAGGACCAGUGCUCAGAGAAACCAGCAGGGCAUGGAAGAAGACAAAAUCAGAGUUGUUGGAGUGGAUCAGCAAGCAAAGUGAAGAUAACUUUGUUCCUUUCAUUGCUGCACAGGCUAAAUCACACAUCAGUGGAGAUUGUCAGCUGUGGGGAUUGUAAUAUUUUCUGCAGCCCUGAACUACAUUAAAGAACCAAUCAGAGAUGUGUUCAUAAUUGUUUGAUGUUUUGAGAUUGGCAAUUACUGUAGGGGAAAUUCUAAAUAUAAGACUUGUUGCAUUUUUAGCUAAUACUAUUUUGGUAGACAUGUAACAAUGCAGUGUGUACCUACCUAAAAUAAAUAGUGCAUCUCAAUCCACAGCAUAUUUCUAGUUACUGAAAUUCUAUUUUAUGGCAAUAGAACAGUGAUAUUGUAGAAAGUAGCAGGGCAAAUCUCUACUUUUUCCAGCAAUUGUGUUCCUGUUUGUUAUUGUCAAAAGAAAACUCCUCAAUAUUUCUUCCUUUUUAACAAAAUGAAAAGAAAUACAAAGCUGUUCCUGAAGGUUAAUCUGUACAGCCUGCAUAGAAACAGAGAAACACUGUACACAACCUCCAAGUGUAUUUUUUGCAAAAUACAGGCCCUCCAUCUGUGUGUAUAAAAUCAUGACUGUCAUUUCAAUACUUCAAAGAUUAAGGAAAUUCCUUUAAA
Molecule: long non-coding RNA, 772 nt
Organism: Podarcis raffonei (Aeolian wall lizard)
Lineage: Eukaryota; Metazoa; Chordata; Lepidosauria; Squamata; Lacertidae
Exons: 2
Source: RefSeq, a predicted model, not a curated record